CCCAUGGAUUAUACCAAUCUCUCAACCCUCAUCAGAGAGGUCUCCUUUUGCAGUAGAUGACAGAGACCCACAGUAUAGUCAACAAAGAAUAAGAGACUGUGAAGUGCUCAGCUUUACAUAGAAAAUCUAUAAGACCAAGGCUUGGGAAUCAUCCUGGAAGAGAGAGCGUGAAGAUCGUAAGAGUCAGAGGUAGUGGGCACCUGCAGGGAAAUGGUAUUUGCCAGGCAUGACACGGCCCAUUGAGCAUAGGAACUCACAGCAGAAAGCCAGCAGAGAGCAAAUCAGCCACAUUCCCUGCAUGGAUAGUGGAGGGGCCCAUGAAGCCCCACCCUGAGCUGAGGAGAAUUAGCAAUUGAUGGUCUAUAAAGAGUGGAAAUAGUAAGAAGAGGAGAUAACCUUUAAAGCAACAAUAAAGAAGAGCUUUUGGUCAGA
Molecule: long non-coding RNA, 432 nt
Organism: Mastomys coucha (southern multimammate mouse)
Lineage: Eukaryota; Metazoa; Chordata; Mammalia; Rodentia; Muridae
Exons: 2
Source: RefSeq, a predicted model, not a curated record